UACGUAGGGUGCGAGCGUUAAUCGGAAUUACUGGGCGUAAAGCGUGCGCAGGCGGUGAGUUAAGUCUGCUGUGAAAGCCCCGGGCUCAACCUGGGAAUGGCAGUGGAAACUGGCUCGCUGGAGUAUGGCAGAGGGGGGUGGAAUUCCGCGUGUAGCAGUGAAAUGCGUAGAGAUGCGGAGGAACACCGAUGGCGAAGGCAGCCCCCUGGGCCAAUACUGACGCUGAGGAGCGAAAGCUAGGGGAGCAAACGGG
RNAcentral lists this ribosomal RNA (253 nucleotides) under uncultured bacterium. RNAcentral describes it as "partial 16S ribosomal RNA". It matches the Rfam family "Bacterial small subunit ribosomal RNA", at positions 524 to 776 of the family's 1533-position model. The record is from RNAcentral.